GCGCUGCCGGCGCUGACGUCACCGCAGCCCCGCGCCCGCCGCCAUUGGAGCGGGAGGCUCCGGCUCCGACCCUUGCUGUGGCCCCAGCGCGGCGGGCAGGCCCGGGCGGGCAUGUGAAGGGUCGGGGCCCACAGGGCGAGCCCAGCCGCGGGUACCGGCGCCGCCCGAACGCCCCCCGGGCCCUCUGUAAGAGACGCCAGCGGCCCCUUUCCCUCCCUCGGCCCCUGAGGGGGAGGCGCCGCCAGGCCCCGCCGCGCCCGCCCGGCCUCGCUGCCGCGCCACGGCGGACCCUACAUGAAUUAUGUCUGCCACAAGCGUUGACCCUCAGAGACCGAAAGGACAGGAUAAUAAGGUACAAAAUGGUUCGUUACAUCAGAAGGAUACAGUUCAUGACAACGAUUUUGAACCUUACCUUUCUGGGCAGUCAAAUCAGAACAGUAGCUAUCCAUCAAUGACUGAUCCUUAUCUAUCCAGUUAUUAUCCACCAUCUAUUGGCUUCCCCUAUUCUCUCAGUGAAGCACCGUGGUCUACAGGAGGAGAUCCUCCUAUCCCGUAUCUCACCACCUAUGGACAGCUCAGUAACGGAGAUCAUCAUUUUAUGCAUGAUGCUGUUUUUGGACAGCCUGGCGGUCUGGGAAAUAAUAUCUAUCAACACCGGUUUAACUUUUUCCCUGAAAAUCCUGCCUUCUCAGCUUGGGGAACAAGCGGAUCCCAAGGACAGCAGACUCAAAGUUCAGCAUAUGGGAGCAGUUACAGCUACCCACCUAGUUCCCUGGGUGGCACCAUUGUGGAUGGACAGACAGGAUUUCAUAAUGAUACAUUAAAUAAAGCUCCUGGAAUGAACAGUAUUGAACAGGGAAUGGUUGGACUUAAGAUUGGUGGAGAUGUUACAACUUCUGCGGUGAAAACAGUAGGUUCUGUGGUCAACAGUGCUGGGAUGACGGGUGCCCUCUCUGGUAACGGUGGAUCUAAUGUAAACUUGUCAGUAUCUAAACCAACCUCCUGGGCUGCUAUAGCUAGCAAGCCUGCGAAACCGCAGCCUAAAAUGAAAACAAAAAGUGGACCUGUAAUUGGAGGAGCAUUACCUCCUCCACCUAUAAAGCAUAAUAUGGACAUAGGUACUUGGGACAACAAGGGUCCUGUGGCAAAAGUUCCUGCCCCCCAACAGAUACCUUCUCCUCAGUCUGUUCCACAGCCACAGCAACAAAUUGUUCAGCCUGUUCCAACUCAGCCUCCUCCAUUGACUCAGCCGCAGUAUCAGACCCCUCAGCAGCCACCCCAAAAUCGCUGGGUAGCUCCUCGCAACAGAAAUGCAGCUUUUGGCCAAAGUGGAGGAACUGGUAAUGACAGCAACUCAGCUGGCAGUACCCAGCCUAACCCUCUUCCAAGUGGCGAAUCCCAUCCUGUCCUUGAAAAACUGAAAGCUGCUCACAGCUAUAACCCUAAAGAUUUUGAAUGGAACCUUAAAAAUGGACGUGUGUUCAUAAUAAAGAGCUAUUCUGAGGAUGAUAUUCAUCGUUCCAUUAAGUAUUCUAUUUGGUGUAGUACGGAACAUGGCAACAAACGCCUGGACAGUGCUUUUCGGUCCAUGAACAACAAGGGUCCAGUCUACCUGCUAUUCAGUGUCAAUGGCAGUGGGCACUUCUGUGGAGUAGCAGAGAUGAAAUCACCUGUGGACUAUGGCACCAGUGCGGGUGUCUGGUCUCAGGACAAGUGGAAGGGGAAAUUUGAUGUCAAGUGGAUCUUUGUGAAGGAUGUGCCCAACAACCAGCUCCGACACAUCAGGCUGGAGAACAAUGACAACAAACCCGUUACAAACUCCCGUGAUACACAGGAGGUGCCCUUAGAAAAAGCAAAACAAGUGCUUAAAAUUAUUGCUACUUACAAGCACACGACCUCCAUCUUCGAUGACUUUUCUCAUUAUGAAAAGCGCCAAGAAGAGGAGGAGGUGGUACGGAAGAAGAUGAAUGCUUUCAUCCCACUGACCUUAACAACUGAAGUUUAGCUGGAAAGUUGACAGCUACUCUGUAACUGAGAUGAAGGGUACAGAAGUUUCACGUGGAUGAGUCUCUUCAAAAUGGAAGCUUCUGCAGGUUUUGUUUUCCUGUGUCUGAAGACUAGACAUAUUAAUGUCACAAAGAAGUAUCGACAGGAGCUCAUCUCUGAGGUAUCGGAAUCCUUCUAGGGGAGAGACUGUGAAGACCUUAAGGUCUUCAGAACCAAAAUGAGCAAAGCUUUUUUAGUUGCUUACAGAACUGCUUGUUCUUGCUUGCAGGAGUGCUAAAUAGCAGUAAGGAAGAGAAUGAGAAUUAAAGCUUCUAAAAAGCAGCCAUGCUCAAGAGCACAAAGAAUUUAUUGCAUCAGUUUCCUCCGCAUCAGUUUAUAUCAAACACUUCUUAAAAGGAAGACUCAGAUUAGGCCCAGAGAGAGAAAGCAAGCAGCAAGGAACGUCAGAAUCGAAACAAACAAUAAGAAUAAACAUAUACAGUUUGAUAUAUAUGCUAGAACUGAUACUAAAUUCGACUAUGAGAAACGAAAUUUAAGUAUACUGGUGCUUUAUCCUGGCAUCAGGACAAACUAAAGCUUUCAGCUCCAAUGUAUCUUCUCGUGCAGGGGAAAUUAAGUUGUUGCAUCUUUAAGUACAUUGUAGUUUAUUUUUGCCCAGAUGGAUCUGCAUUAAUUUGUAUCUUUUUUUUCUAUGUAAAAUUCUGUAGAAAUCAUGAAUAAAGGUGUGUCUGGUUUUAUUUUUUUAAGUUGGUAAACAGUUAUGUUAACCUAAUGUCAACCUAUCCAUGAGCAUACUCAAGUGUCAAUGCUUCCCAAAGAGUUCAUUUUGGCACAAAUUAUGUUCCUAGCCAGGUAUAGAGAUUAUGGAGAAUACAUGACAAAUCUUCCUUUAUCCUCCUCCCAACCCCUUUUUCUCAUGGUGGAAAUAGGAAACUAUGCCUUGAUUUAUCCUUUUUUUAUUUUUUUCUUUUUGUCAUUUAAAAAACUUUUAAGAUACUGCACUUCAGAGUUUUAAAAUGAAACCCCUAAAUUUUGGAUCACUCUGUGCAGCUGCUCUGCCUCUUUCUUGAUCUGUACAAUUACACUUUUAAAACUGCUAAUGCGCCAUGUUUUUUUCUGUCUAGUAGAGAAUCAAAUUGUCAGUGAAAUUGUUUCUCUGGAAACCCUUUCCCUUUCACAUUCUGUUAACCAGUGCUUCAGUGUGCAUUUGUUAUACCAUAUCCUGCCGGGAGUGAGCGAGGUGCUUUCUCUCAGCCAUGAUUCUGCUUUACAGUUUUUGUAGCUUAAUUAAAUAAUAAUGUGAUGCUAUCAACAUUGCAGGGGUUUUGGACAAUGUGUUUAAACCUGUUUCAGCUUUCAGGUGUUAUUAGUUAAUUGCAGAUCAUUUUUAAUCCUUCCCUUCAUUACUCCCUCCCACCCCCCAAAUCCUUAUGCCAUUUAAAGUUUUUAUACCAAUAAUGCUGAGCUUUAACGUAGGAACUAAUAGUACGGAUAAUAUGAUGGAUUAUGCCUCAGAUGUUUAAAAUUGACAGUGUGUAUGUCUAAUUUUUUUCUGUUGGAUGAGUAAAAAAACCUGUUUUAAGAAACUGAAUUUGCUGUCAUGUUUUUGUGGAGUGAGGGGACCGUCGGAGAAUCUGUCACCAACUGGAGUUCCAAUUAAGCAUGGAAAUGGUGCUCAUGUCCGCUGCUCUAGCACACUGAAUCUGCACGUGUUUAUUGUAGAGGAUCUUUUACUAUAUUAGAAAGCAAGUAUCUUCUGAAUACUAUUUACUCCAAAAGGACCUCCAAUUUAAAUAAAGUUUAAUCUGUAUCAUUUAGACUUGUAUUUAGAACGUAUAACUCUGUCUCUGGACUGUUACUGCCUGUAAGGGGUAAUGGACAGCAUCAGAUUAACUUUUUCCUCUAGGAGAAUACAAGCCUUAAUAAACAAUACAUA
Cuculus canorus (common cuckoo) is the source of this 3943-nucleotide RNA transcript. It is a transcript of the gene named YTH N6-methyladenosine RNA binding protein F1, with no coding region annotated. The transcript is spliced from 6 exons. NCBI's taxonomy places the organism in Eukaryota, Metazoa, Chordata, Aves, Cuculiformes, Cuculidae. The record is from RefSeq and is a predicted model, not a curated record.